GUGCGUCUUUGCGUCAAGUUCAUGCCAGUAUGCAAAAAAGUAUGCUAUUGCUAACAACACCAUAUGAGCAAUGCCAAGAAGAGCGUCAUUGAUGAACAUGAUUUCAGGAACAUUUGCUUAAGCCUGUCUAGAUUUUCAGUAAAGGUUGGAGGAAAGUCACCAUCCGCAUUUGUGGAAACAAGUGGCUGCUUCCCUGAAGAGACUGGGCCACUGAAGUCAGCAUUUUACGUGGAUCAACACUCAAAGCAUCUGCAUGAGGGUCAGAAUGAAGGAUGCCCACUGGAGCUGGGAAUUGUUGAUCAGGUGGAUCAACACUCCAACCACCUGCAUCUGGAUCUGCUUUAGAGACACCCACUGGAGCUGAAAAAGAUGAAGCAGGUGGAUCAGCAUGUAAACCAUUUGCAUAAGGAUCUGCAUGAAGGAUGCUCACAAGAGCUGGGAAUGCUGGAUCAAUUGCCGGGCAACAUCCCUGGUGAACACCUUGGAGCAAAUUCUCCAUACUGUCUUCUUCAUAUUUGGCCCACCGCUGAUUGAUAGUCUGUUCACCUUCAACAGGUUUUGUUCUAGCCUGUCUAGGUCUGCAAUGGAUGCUAAAGGAAAGACACCACCUUCCUCCUCUUCAUCCAUUUGCAUUUGGGGUACAACGCGCCUGUUUCCCAAUAGAGACUGGACCAGUGAAGUCAAAUGGUUGAUCUUCAUGUCCAUUUUCUCUAUUGUUUCCAGAAUUGCCCUUUCAACAGCUGCAAUACAGUUGAUGCUUUUUACCUCGAGUGUUAGGUGGAUCAACACUCCAGCUGUGAUGGUCUGCCUGAGUGAUGCCCACUGGAGCUGAGAAAGGUGGAUUGAUGCUUUUUACCUCGAGUGUUAGGUGGAUCAACACUCCAGCUGUGAUGGUCUGCCUGAAUGAUGCCCACUGGAGCUGAGAAAGAUGGAGUAGGGUCUCAGGACAGAAAAGGUGGAUAAACACUCCAGUCAUGAUGCUGAGAGACACUCACUGGAGCUGACAGAGGUGGAGUAGAUUGGUGGCUCAACACUCCAGUCGUGAUGUCGAGAGACACCCACUGGAGCUGACAGAGUUGAUUUGAUGCUUUUUACCUCGAGUGUUAGGUGGAUCAACACUCCAGCUGUGAUGGUCUGCCUGAGUGAUGCCCACUGGAGCUGAGAAAGAUAACCAUCAUCACGAGGGAGAGUUUUCUCCGCAGCACCGGCAUUAUUGUAUCUAGUCAGAAGAACGGGCUUUCACCGAAGCAGGUCUAUCAACAUCCCAACUGUCUCUGUGAUUGUCUGUCAGAAAGGUGGAGUGGAUCAACAUUCCUGCCAUCUUUAGUAUGUUCUGCCUGAGAGAUGCCUACUUGAGCUAAGAAAGGUGGAGUGGAAUAAGCACUGUGAGAAACCGCCCCAUGUGUAUUCUGCGUCAAUCAGCCAAACAACUCAAUAGGUACUGCUGGAGGUUUGGGUGCGGGUGCAACACUUCCUUUGUGUAUCGUUUUUCUUUUUUUUUGUUGUUGAGGUUCUUGUACCUCGUCUUCUGAGGAACACAUGAAAUCGGAGAAGGUUUUUCUUCUAGGAAAACAAAGACAAGAUGGCAAUUGCACACACAUUUCAUAGCCCUUUAUUUGCUAUGUAGCAAGUAUAUGUGUGAUUAAUCCAAUUGAAUGUUUGAAACUAAGGUAAAUUACAGCAGUUUUCAUGUUAAACCAUGUUUUGUCAUGUUCUUUUGUUGUAACUUACUUGUGAGAUCUUUUUUCUGGGAUUUCAGAUUCCGAAUUAAUAUCUGAUGUGUAGCUGGCCUUUUUCCAAUUGCUAGCAACAUUCUGAAAAGAUGCUGGAAAAUGAAAUUAAGGUAAUGUUUAUUUUUUAUUUAUUUUUGUAGAGAAAAUGCAGAAAAUUGACAAGAUGAUGAAAAACUAAAAACAGAUGAAGAGUUUUGUUGCAAAACUUAAGUUUUUAAAUUUUUGUCAAAACGUGUUUGUUAUGUUAAUAUUUUGUUGUAUGGUGCUACUUAGCUGUAUUUUAAGUUAUGAAGGUUUAAAUCAAAACAAAACGACUGAAGUCGAAUUUAUAUUAAUUGGAAUGCACAACCAAAAAUGAGAUUUCUGAAUAAAACCCCGCAGUUAUCUCAUUUUGCAUCGAAACUCUUCAGAUAUUGUUUUUUACUCUGGGCAAGGUCAUUUUAAUUUAUAAUAAUAUUUACUCCUCUCACCUGAUUC
Molecule: non-coding RNA, 2210 nt
Organism: Misgurnus anguillicaudatus (oriental weatherfish)
Lineage: Eukaryota; Metazoa; Chordata; Actinopteri; Cypriniformes; Cobitidae
Source: RefSeq, a predicted model, not a curated record